AUUAGACCACAAUUCAGUGAAAGUGCAGGCUGGGCUGGCCAGCUCUUAGUGCAGAGACUCGAAUCAGGAAACCUAGCAUCAGCCUUUGCAAACAUUUAUCCACAGAGCGGUAAGCUCCAGCCCUAAAGGCAACACAUGCAACACAUUUACUGCUGGAGUGAAUAAGGGUUGGCAGAACUAGCUCAUUGCAUACUUUGGAAAGCAAGGAGAAUUUAAAGCCCAAAUCUUUGUUCAUGAAAGUUCUACAGUUGACUUUGGUGGAUUUUGGGUCAUGCUGUUGGACAUAGCCUGAGAUAUACGGGAAGCUGCACGAAAAAAAAGAGUUUUUGUCUUCUCUCUCUGUUUCAAGAAAGCAAUGAAAGGCAAGAGGUACCACUAGGAGCUGGCAUGGAUGUGGACUGCACAUAAAAAGAUCAGCAUCUGAUCAGCAUCAUAAAAUGGUAGCUGAUGAUUGGCAACAAACAAAAAACGGAGCUUCCCUGGAGGUGUACCAGUUCCAUGAGCCUCCUGCCAGCUGAGCAGCACUGAUGCCAACAGUGGAGAAUAACAUCUAGAAGAUCAAUGAGGAAGGAUAUUUUACAGAGGUGUUAAAGAAAAGGAUAUAAAAAGGAUACUGAAGGUAAAGAAGACAUCAAGACAAUUUUGUACCAGAGGUGAAGCAUCAUGAGCAAUUCCAUGUGGACCAACUGUACACUAAAAGAAAUGAGGAAAUAAAAGAGAACUGAGAGUACUAGCCAUGAAAUCAUGGAGUAGGAGGAGCAUUCAAUAAGAUGGAUGUGGAUAUGCCACACAACUCCAGUUCCAGAGACAUGGAUAGUUUUUGGAGUCUUCCUUCUCUGUGUGUAUGGCUGAAACUGCUAAAUACAAGAGACAAGAAACAGAGUUCAGUGAAGCAGUACUCAGCUUUGUGUGGUAAUAUGAGGGCCAUGCUGAAGGCAGAAGAGUCCUUGAUGGUUCCGGCUGUCUGGCUUUCUAGGGUAGAGCUGUGGGCAAUCAAUUAACUCCACCAGUCCGAAAAGCAGAAAUGCAUGCAAGCAGACAUCAAAUCCUGCUUACAAGCAAUGCAAACUGAAUACAGCAACUUUGGAGAUUAAUGUUCCUGGACCAGAAGGGACACCAGCAGUGUGUUACUAUCUGGCAGAUCUACAGCAUAGUACAUGGAGAUGCUACCAGCCCCACCCAAAAUUACAUGUUAUGUAACCAAGUGAGAUGCAUUAAGAUCAUCUCCAACAUCGCCAUCUCCUGACUUUGAAUGAUAGUGCAUGUUGCUUCUGUGACAAUUGGUAUUCAAGAAAUGAAAAAAUGGCACUCAAGAUUUCUGUUCUGAAUUAAAAAAAAUAAUAAUAAUCAAUUUUGCACUGAAUUUUUCUUCUUUGUAUUCUGAAAUGUUUUGUAGCUGAUUAUCAAAUAAUUUAUCUUUGAUUUUGUAGUUAUUGUUUGCGUAAGACCCCAUUAACUCUUACAGGGUAGGUGGGCAACUGAAAACGUCAGCAUAUAUAGAAGAAAUUCAAGAACUUCAAGCACUGUAAGCUGUAGAGAGAGUUCCAAGUAACUCUUCAGCAACCUCUGCAAAGUUCCUCUCUUCUGGAAAAUGAAUACUAACCCAGGACAAGAGAAGACUGACGCCUGAUCAAGCCGUGGAAAUCUCCCUGAUGACUUCACUGGGCUCUUGCAUGUACAUAUAGAGCAGUCAUCUCCAUCCACUUACAGUCCUGCACUGAUGAUGUUCACUUGAACUGUGAAAUGGUUAGCAUUUAAAAGUUGUCCCUUCUACGUGAAUCCUGCUGUGCCUCACGUUUUAUAAUGCCGAGUGUUGUUAAAUGUUUGAGCAAUAUUGCAAUUGUUUCUAUUUGUUGAAUUUAUAUGAAAGCUAUUAUCUGUGACUUGUUAUUAUGCUAUGUGAAGAGAUUCCAACCCUUUUUU
Molecule: long non-coding RNA, 1923 nt
Filed under: Gallus gallus (chicken)
Lineage: Eukaryota; Metazoa; Chordata; Aves; Galliformes; Phasianidae
Description: lncRNA (ENSGALG00010010325.1)
Source: RNAcentral